Molecule: ribosomal RNA, 496 nt
Filed under: uncultured bacterium
Lineage: Bacteria
Description: bacterial SSU rRNA
Rfam family: Bacterial small subunit ribosomal RNA
Source: RNAcentral
AGAGUUGACUGGCUCAGGACGAACGCUGGCGGCGUGCCUAACACAUGCAAGUCGAACGGAGUUAAUGAUUUCGGUUGUUAACUUAGUGGCGAACGGGUGAGUAACGCGUGAACAACCUGACCCAAAGAGGGGGAUAACAUUUGGAAACAGAUGCUAAUACCGCAUAAGACCACAACGUCACAUGGCGAAGGGGUCAAAGGAGCAAUCCGCUUUGGGAGGGGUUCGCGUCCCAUUAGGUAGAUGGCGGGGUAACGGCCCACCAUGCCAACGAUGGGUAGCCGAGCUGAGAGGCUGAUCGGCCACACUGGAACUGAGACACGGUCCAGACUCCUACGGGAGGCAGCAGUGGGGAAUAUUGGGCAAUGGGCGCAAAGCCUGACCCAGCAACGCCGCGUGAGGGAAGAAGGUUUUCGGAUUGUAAACCUCUGUCGCAGAAGACGAAGGAAGUGACGGUAUUCUGUGAGGAAGCCCCGGCUAACUACGUGCCAGCCGCCGC